RNAcentral lists this ribosomal RNA (254 nucleotides) under uncultured bacterium. RNAcentral's name for it is "partial 16S ribosomal RNA". It matches the Rfam family "Bacterial small subunit ribosomal RNA", at positions 524 to 776 of the family's 1533-position model. The record is from RNAcentral.
GACGGAGGGUGCUAGCGUUGUUCGGAAUCACUGGGCGUAAAGGGCGCGUAGGCGGCCUUGCAAGUCGGUUGGUGAAAGCCCGGGGCUCAACCCCGGAGGUGCGGCCGAGACUGCAGGGCUGGAGGCCGGAAGAGGAGGGUGGAAUACCCAGUGUAGAGGUGAAAUUCGUAGAGAUCGGGAGGAACAUCAGUGGCGAAGGCGGCCGCCUGGACCAGCACUGACACUGAGGCACGAAAGCGUGGGGAGCAAACAGG